UUCCGGGUUGCAGUGAAUCAGGUUCCACGCGCUGCUGCAGAGAGAAAGAAACCAACGGUCCGGAAGCUUCUUUUAACGGAUUUUAAGAGCCUGGACUGGAUUCAUCUUCAUAAGGUCAGCAAACUAUGACUGGGACCGUUGUUUACUCGCGUGCUCAGCUGAUUGCGCUGUGCAAGCCGCAGCUUCUGCCUGGAGACAGACCUGUGAUCCCGGUGGAGCUACGGAGAAGGGCUCGGGGCUGCAGAUCGGGUGUCAAGCGGAGGGCUAAAACGAUGAAAUACAAAACCCUCGAUACCGGCGAUCAUAACAGGGAACGUGAGGUCUUGGCGAAUAAGACGGAUGAGCUCGGCGCGCUGGUAAUGACAGAGGAUCUUCCGUGAGAGCAGCCUCUUGUGUUUUACUGAGACGUGGCUGCACGCGGACUAUCCGCGAUUAACUGGUUUUGGUACGCAUGCAUGAGGCAGAUGUUCCGUAGGAGUGGCCUCGGAGUUGCCUCUCAGGACUCGUCUCGACUAACUAGGAAAUGCACUUUUCCAUCGCUUAGCCUCUGUCACGUUCUUUUUAUGUAACGCUGAUGUUUUAAAGACUAAACACGGAGGACUUUGCUGUAAAAUGUGAUACCUGUUCUGCAGUUGAGACGCCGAGGACACGGAGCGAGGACAAAGUAGGUGACUCUGCUGAUGCCUGUUCAAUAUACUACUAACUUCAAUAAAUACUUGACAAAAUGCUCUUGUUGUCAGUCUGAUAUUUAUGUUAUACGUCGAUGUGAGACCAGUUUACUCUUCAUAUAGUGUGUAAUGAAGCAUGUAGCCCGUUGUUUACAUCCAGCUCGCCCACCGCUGUCAGCUGGGAAACUGAUCGACUCCGAUUAAAUUGUGAUACAACAACACUACUCUCACAUCUCUUAUGUUUUAUAUUCGAGACUUCGUAACUAUACUCUACCCUGUGCAGCACUCACUGGUCCAGAUUAAACAUGACUGUUACCUGUUUUGUUACGAUAAGGACACGCAUUGAAUAACUACACACAGGAGUGAGCGCGUCUUUCGACACAUGACGGGGGAGCGGCUUGCUCCAGCCUUCAUUUAGGAUUUCGACGGCAUUAACGAAACGUUUUCCACCUUCAUGACGAACAUAUCACUUGUUCACUGAUGAUAAAAAAAUAUCAAACUACAAUAAAAUAAAAACACGGAUUUCUCAAAGAAUCGAACAGCUGACUUGUGCACCUGCUGUUCUGUUCAUUGCUUGUACUGCGGUCAACUCAGCCGACACUUACAUUUCUGUGCACCUAUAGACUGAUGUUGACGGUAAACGCAUUCGAUCGGGAGCGCGCGAGGGUUUUGAUAAAGUUAGCGGAAGGAUUCACGUGACAACAUCCGGUUUUGCAAAGUUAGCGGAAAGAACUACGUGAAACAUCCGUUUUUCAAAAUAAGAUGUCGACAAAUUGUACACUAGCAUAUACAAGUAAACAAUUAACUGAUUUUGAAUCUUUAUAGAUCGUUUCUGAGAUUUAGCUUAAAUUAUGCUGACAAAACGUUAAGGAAGAGUUUAUAAAAAUAAAACUCUUGUAUGUUAAGAAAUUCAAUAAAACUCAGACUUUUGUAGGUUAAAAAAUUCCUGUAUAUAGAUUUCCCCAACAGUUCCAGGAAAUGAAUGAUGCAGCGGUGUUCAAGACAGUCCUGACUUCCAUUAUCCUGGAAAUCAAACUUAUCUAUGGUCCCAUUUGGGAGAUAUUUCAAAGUAAAUGUUUACGAGAAAUCGGUCAUUUCUUUCAUGUUUGAGGUGCUUUAAAUAUGUUUUUCCUCAAAAGCCCUUUAAUUUGAAAUAUCUCCCAAUUGGGACCGUAGUUUGCAAGACACUGAAGCCUAUAAACUGUUAAUAAUUACAUCUUUUGUGUUUACAGGUAAAGGGGACGCCACAUGAACCGAAUCCACAGCUGGAUCUACGUGCUUUGCUGUUAAUUUUAUUCAUGCAGUGCUUUUAAUUAGCUGAUUAGUGAGUGAACAUCUGCAUAUUUCUAAGAUCAUCCUUACUUUAUAUAGUUUUAAUGAUGUGUAUGAACACUGAAAUUCACUGUUAAAUAAAGAUAGCCGAGUUAAACUAU
Molecule: long non-coding RNA, 2101 nt
Organism: Pseudoliparis swirei
Lineage: Eukaryota; Metazoa; Chordata; Actinopteri; Perciformes; Liparidae
Exons: 3
Source: RefSeq, a predicted model, not a curated record